AGCAGUGUGGCCUAGUGGAUAGAGCACAGGGCCUGGGAGUCCUGAGGACCUGGGUUCUAAUCCCGGCUCUACCU
This 74-nucleotide transfer RNA is filed under the name Ornithorhynchus anatinus (platypus). It matches the Rfam family "tRNA". Rfam says of the family: Transfer RNA (tRNA) molecules are approximately 80 nucleotides in length. Their secondary structure includes four short double-helical elements and three loops (D, anti-codon, and T loops). The record is from Rfam by way of RNAcentral. Lineage: Eukaryota; Metazoa; Chordata; Mammalia; Monotremata; Ornithorhynchidae.